UUUCCGUAGGUGAACCUGCGGAAGGAUCAUUAUCGUACAAAAUGUGAGGGGCAUGCGAGGGCUGUCGCUGACCCAAAAGUCAUGCACGCCCGAGUGUGUCCUCUUGCAUAAUAAUCCAUCUCACCCUUUGUACAUCACCGCGUGGGCACCCUUCGGGAUCAUCUCGGAGGGGGGCUCGCGUUUUCACACAAACCCCCCUUUUAAAAGUGUAGAAUGACCACAUUUAUGCAAUCAAUACAACUUUCAACAACGGAUCUCUUGGCUCUC
This 267-nucleotide unclassified non-coding RNA is filed under the name plant metagenome. Its description in RNAcentral is "partial contains small subunit ribosomal RNA, internal transcribed spacer 1, and 5.8S ribosomal RNA". The record is from RNAcentral.